This is a long non-coding RNA of Corvus hawaiiensis (hawaiian crow), 2530 nucleotides long. RefSeq lists it as uncharacterized. The record is from RefSeq and is a predicted model, not a curated record. Lineage: Eukaryota; Metazoa; Chordata; Aves; Passeriformes; Corvidae. The transcript is spliced from 3 exons.
UCGGAGGCGGAGCACAGGCCCUGAAGGGAGGAAACGCGGCUUUUUCCGCCUGCGCUUGGCCUGGUGGAGAGCUUCCUUACAUUGAGGGUGGCCCCUGGACCAGGCUGCCCGGGGAGGUUGUGGCGUGUCCCUCUCUGGAGCCAUUCCAACCCCCCCCGGUUUGCUCAAAGCAAGGAGUCGGGAGGUAACCCACGAAAGGUUGGCUCUGUGGUCAUCAAACCCCUACACUAUUUAUACCUUUUAACAAGCAAAGGCAUCAGCAUUUGUUGGCUUUUCUCUUUCCUGUCCUGCUGGAGUGGGGGCAGAAAACAAGGUCAACCCACCCUGUUCUUCUAGAAGGCCUAAGUCCUAGUGGGAAUGGACUGGGAACACCUGUGAAAGCUGGGGCCAAAGCUCCUGGAGUCCCCUAAGAGCAGACUGAAGUUAAACCAGUGGUGAAGAUAGGAUGCUAAGUAAUUUUGCAUUGUGUAACAGAUUGCUAAAGCCCUGGAGCACUGAGAUGAGGUUAACUUUGGAGGCAGGCCUCCCCCUUCCCACAGGCUGGUAAGCAGGGUGAGCCUGGGGCCAGCAGUCAUCCCGGGGCAGGAGGAGAAGGUACAGAAUUGUCAGUGCUAGGGGUGUCACUGGAUGCACAGCAGUGUCAUUGCUCUGCAUGCAAGGCAAGGUGGACCUGAGAGGCCUGCCCUGAGGCAACAGAGAGGAUCCCAAACCAUCAUCUUGUUUCAGCAGGUGUCAUUGUGCAAUGUGAACCUUCCCUAACCAAAGCCAUAGGGAGAAAGAGGAUACAACCUUGAAUAUGGUAAGCCAUGCUCUAAGAGAAACAGAGAGGAUCAUGUACCUGAAAAGCACUCCGAGUAGUAGCCAGAGCUCUCACUGCACCCAAAAAGUGGUCUCCCAGCUGUGCUCUUUUCCAGGAAUCAGAGUGCCUGCCUAGGAAUGCCUGUGCUGGAGCCUGGCAGAGCCACAUCCCCCCAGAUAAGCACCUGCUAUACCAGGCUUCCGGUAUCACAGCUGUGCACGGAGUGGUGGUGUGCGUCCCUGUGCCGGAGCUGCUCCCUCCGUCAGGAAGGUUCAGUAACACUCAGUUCACUGACAGGGCCUUACAGCAGCUGGGGAAAUCAAAGUGGGCAACGACUGUGUGGUUAGAGGCAGCUGGGGCUGAAGUGCUUGCAAGAGUCACAGCGCUGAAACUUCCACCCCAGGCAGCAGAAGGGGGCUUGGUGUGUUACAGGGUAAAGUAGAUUCAGGACAAAGAGGAGAAAUGAGGUAAAGAGAGAAGCAAGAUGGUACCAGAGUCAAACUCACUAUUUUUACUGGGUUUUUUUUUCCCUAGGGUUUCAAAAAAUUUGGAAAGCCAUUAUCAAUAGUGAAAGUACAGCACUGAAGUCAUGGCAUCUCUAGAAAUUAGAUUCUAGACAGGUGGUUUGAUUUUGCCCAACAGGCCCCAGCAGAAGGUAUCUCCAACGUUGCAGUGAGUUAGUUCUCCCCCGUGGGCAAACUGCCUAAUUAAGCUUUGAGGAGAAUAAAUGAGUGCCAACAGGCUUCUGCAACAAGGGGAGAAGUUCUGGUGUCACAGCCCCACUGUGUUUAGCACUGCUUGCCAGCGUCUCUUCAUUAACUCUCUUAGUUUAGACUCUCUACAAAUAUAAGUCACUAAGUCAUGAAGUAAGCUUAAAAUACCACAAUUAUGCCAAUGUGUUUUCCAUGGUUUUACUGAAACUGAGAAAGUAGUUCUGUACCAAAAUGUACACAGUUUAGUAAUAAUACAAAAAGGUAAUUCUGCCAGACAGAAUGUCAGUAAAAUCCACCAAAAUGAACACUGAACCACCAUUUAUUGCCCGACCAGUGUUACUUUAAAUAAAUCAUUGAAUGAACAUAGAAACAAAGUAAUUCCAAGUUUUCUUAAAUAAAAAUAGUAGUGAUCAGCAACAAUACUGCAGGAAGAUAAACAUUCAUGGCAUUUGCUAUUUACAUGCCAUUAUAACAUAUCUAGCAUGUAGUAUGUCUUCAUGCUUGCACAUUACAUUUAUGAGCUCAUUACAAUGGAUAUUAAUGCAUAGAUGUACUACAAAGCAACCCACCAUGAUGUAUAUCAAAUCUGCACAUUAGAAGAGCACCUCUACUAGUCACCCCUUCAGGAAUGAUGGUGCAGGAAUACCAGCCCAAUCCAGAUUCCCCCCACAAAAGUCAAACAAGAAAAGCCCAAACCAACCAAUCAAAAAAAUCAUCAAGCAUAUUGAUAAUCUUCAUCCUGUGAUUAACUAGGCAGGGCUAUGCCUUUAGCAGUAUUCCCAAAGGUGAAUCAAACCAGAAUAAACCUGGGUUUUCUUUAUUACAGUAACAACACCUGAGACUGCUUCACUGGUCCAAGUACAGUAUUUUAUUACAAAAACUGCUUCUUACAUUAACAUGUCAUUUCAUUGAAUCCCCUUAAUUAGUACUUUUCAUUGACAAAAAAGGUAAGAUUUCUUCUUAAAAUAAAUACUCCCCCCCCCCCCCCCCCCCCCCCAACAAAAGUUUAAAAGGAAAU